Molecule: ribosomal RNA, 244 nt
Filed under: uncultured bacterium
Lineage: Bacteria
Description: partial 16S ribosomal RNA
Rfam family: Bacterial small subunit ribosomal RNA
Source: RNAcentral
UGGCCUACGGGAGGCAGCAGUGGGGAAUAUUGCACAAUGGGGGAAACCCUGAUGCAGCGACGCCGCGUGAGUGAAGAAGUAUUUCGGUAUGUAAAGCUCUGUCAGCAGGGAAGAAAAUGACGGUACCUGACCAAGAAGCCCCGGCUAACUACGUGCCAGCAGCCGCGGUAAUACGGAGGGGGCAAGCGUUAUCCGGAUUUACUGGGUGUAAAGGGAGCGUAGACGGCAGGGCAGGGCUGGAGUG